This 301-nucleotide ribosomal RNA is filed under the name uncultured bacterium. RNAcentral describes it as "partial 16S ribosomal RNA". It matches the Rfam family "Bacterial small subunit ribosomal RNA", at positions 509 to 807 of the family's 1533-position model. The record is from RNAcentral.
CAGUAGCCGCGGGAAUACGAGGGGGGCAAGCGUUGUUCGGAAUUAUUGGGCGUAAAGGGCGCGUAGGCGGUUUGGCAAGUUUGGUGUGAAAUCUUCGGGCUCAACUCGAAGUCUGCACCGAAAACUGCCGGGCUUGAGUAUGGGAGAGGUGAGUGGAAUUUCCGGUGUAGCGGUGAAAUGCGUAGAGAUCUGGAGGAAUACCGAUGGCGAAGGCAGCCAUCUGGCCUAAUACUGACGCUGAGGUACGAAAGCAUGGGGAGCAAACAGGAUUAGAUACCCGCGUAGUCCCUGUCUCUUAUAC